GCUCCAGUGGCCUAGUGGUUAGAGUGUCCACCUCGGAUGUGGGAGGUCGCGGGUUUGAAUCCCAGCUGAGUCA
Non-coding RNA from Potamilus streckersoni, 73 nucleotides. The record is from the annotation of a GenBank genome assembly. NCBI's taxonomy places the organism in Eukaryota, Metazoa, Mollusca, Bivalvia, Unionida, Unionidae.